This 460-nucleotide ribosomal RNA is filed under the name uncultured bacterium. RNAcentral's name for it is "partial 16S ribosomal RNA". It matches the Rfam family "Bacterial small subunit ribosomal RNA", at positions 338 to 795 of the family's 1533-position model. The record is from RNAcentral.
CCUACGGGAGACAGCAGUGAGGAAUAUUGGUCAAUGGACGAGAGUCUGAACCAGCCAAGUAGCGUGAAGGAUGACUGCCCUAUGGGUUGUAAACUUCUUUUAUAUGGGAAUAAAAUGUUCCACGUGUGGGAUUUUGUAUGUAACAUAUGAAUAAGGAUCGGCUAACUCCGUGCCAGCAGCCGCGGUAAUACGGAGGAUCCGAGCGUUAUACGGAUUUAUUGGGUUUAAAGGGAGCGUAGGUGGAUUGUUAAGUCAGUUGUGAAAGUUUGCGGCUCAACCGUAAAAUUGCAGUUGAAACUGGCAGUCUUGAGUACAGUAGAGGUGGGCGGAAUUCGUGGUGUAGCGGUGAAAUGCUUAGAUAUCACGAAGAACUCCGAUUGCGAAGGCAGUUCACUGGACUGCAACUGACACUGAGGCUCGAAAGUGUGGGUAUCAAACAGGAUUAGAUACCCCGGUAGUC